AGUGAACGCUGGCGGUAGGCCUAACACAUGCAAGUCGAACGGCAGCACAGUAAGAGCUUGCUCUUACGGGUGGCGAGUGGCGGACGGGUGAGGAAUACAUCGGAAUCUACUUUUUCGUGGGGGAUAACGCAGGGAAACUUACGCUAAUACCGCAUACGACCUACGGGUGAAAGCAGGGGAUCUUCGGACCUUGCGCGAUUGAAUGAGCCGAUGUCGGAUUAGCUAGUUGGCGGGGUAAAGGCCCACCAAGGCGACGAUCCGUAGCUGGUCUGAGAGGAUGAUCAGCCACACUGGAACUGAGACACGGUCCAGACUCCUACGGGAGGCAGCAGUGGGGAAUAUUGGACAAUGGGCGCAAGCCUGAUCCAGCCAUACCGCGUGGGUGAAGAAGGCCUUCGGGUUGUAAAGCCCUUUUGUUUGGAAAGAAAAGCAGCAGGUUAAUACCCCGCUGUUCUGACGGUACCCAAAGAAUAAGCACCGGCUAACUUCGUG
Molecule: ribosomal RNA, 492 nt
Filed under: uncultured bacterium
Lineage: Bacteria
Description: partial 16S ribosomal RNA
Rfam family: Bacterial small subunit ribosomal RNA
Source: RNAcentral